UACAGAGGUCUCAAGCGUUGUUCGGAUUCAUUGGGCGUAAAGGGUGCGUAGGCGGCGCGGUAAGUCGGGUGUGAAAUCUCGGAGCUUAACUCCGAAACUGCAUUCGAUACUGCCGUGCUUGAGGACUGGAGAGGAGACUGGAAUUUACGGUGUAGCGGUGAAAUGCGUAGAGAUGUGGAGGAACACCAGUGGCGAAGGCGACUCUUUGUCCUGUAACUGACGCUGAGGCGCGAAAGCGUGGGGAGCGAACAGG
This 253-nucleotide ribosomal RNA is filed under the name uncultured bacterium. RNAcentral describes it as "partial 16S ribosomal RNA". It matches the Rfam family "Bacterial small subunit ribosomal RNA", at positions 524 to 776 of the family's 1533-position model. The record is from RNAcentral.